RNAcentral lists this long non-coding RNA (1211 nucleotides) under Homo sapiens (human). RNAcentral's name for it is "long intergenic non-protein coding RNA 2392". Lineage: Eukaryota; Metazoa; Chordata; Mammalia; Primates; Hominidae. The record is from RNAcentral.
AGUAGCACCCUCAACUGUGAAAAUAAAAAAUGUCUCCAGACAUCGCCACUUGUUUCCUGAGGGCUAAAUUACCAGUUGUUGUAAACUACUGUUUUACAUACUUUUUGGUUUUUUAAUCUCUAAAGAGAGGAGUUGUGAAAAGAUGUGUCUUUUCCAGCUCUGAUAUUCUCUGACCUGUCCAGCUAUGCUCACAAAAUUGAUGAGAAACUCUAUCUGUUCUUAUCAGAUGCAGAUAAGAAACGUGGGAAGCCACAAGAAAGCCAAGUAGCCUGGGAAAAAGUGGUCAUUGAGCCAUGAGAAAAAAUUAACAUUUGAUCCUGUUGGUGCCACCUGAAGGCAGAGAUGGCUGAGGACCCCCGAGUGUAUAUAUCUGGAACUUAUUUAUCAGAGCAUCACUAAGAGCUUUUCUGUAAGAGUGAUUGCCAUUUAUUUCAGAAUGUAUGAAUGAAAGACUUAAGAAUACAUCUGACCCAGGCAGCCUGGGUUCAACUCUCCAUGUGAGAAUACCAAGCUUGGCUGGGCACAGUGCCUCACAUCUGUAAUCCCAACACUUUGAGAGGCUGCGGCAGGAAGAUUACUUGAAGCCAAGAGCUGGCGAACAACCUGGGCAACAAAGUGAGACUUCAUCUCUACAAUUUUUUUUUUAAUUAGCCGGAUGCAGUGGUGCACACCUGUAGUCUCAGCUUCUCAGGAGGCUGAAGUAGGAUUGCUUGAGCCUGUGAGCCCAGAAGUUUGAGACGGCAGUGAGUUACGAUCACACCACUGCAUUAGAGCCUGAAUGGCAGAGUGAGAGCCUAUCUCUAAACUAAGUAAACAAAUACAGACAUACAUACAUAAAGUAAGAAUUAUUAUAAUAACAAGAAUACAAGCAGUCUGCAAUUUGUGUUUAUGGUGCUAACUGCAACUCAUGUAUGUGGUACCCUCAUUUUUCACAAUAUCAUGGUAACUAAAUAACUGUGCAAAUUAAGAGUACAGUUCUUAUGUGUAUGUUUUAUAGUUAAUACAUACUGUUCAAAAAAAGAACUACCUGUACUAAAUAAGAAUAAUAUAGGUGGACUUGUCUACUGCCUAAUAAAACACAUGAUAAAGCACUACAAAUGAAAGACAAUAGUUCUUACAAGCAAAUAGGGAAUGCAGAGGAAAAAUAAUAGAGGGGCAUCUCAGUCAAGAUUCAAAUUUAGUUUAUAAUAAAUACAAAACUUUUCUCUCAA